This 791-nucleotide ribosomal RNA is filed under the name Arthrobacter sp. RNAcentral describes it as "bacterial SSU rRNA". It matches the Rfam family "Bacterial small subunit ribosomal RNA", at positions 113 to 916 of the family's 1533-position model. The record is from RNAcentral. Lineage: Bacteria; Bacillati; Actinomycetota; Actinomycetes; Micrococcales; Micrococcaceae.
ACACGUGAGUAACCUGCCCUUGACUCUGGGAUAAGCCUGGGAAACUGGGUCUAAUACCGGAUAUGACUGUCUGACGCAUGUCAGGUGGUGGAAAGCUUUUGUGGUUUUGGAUGGACUCGCGGCCUAUCAGCUUGUUGGUGGGGUAAUGGCCUACCAAGGCGACGACGGGUAGCCGGCCUGAGAGGGUGACCGGCCACACUGGGACUGAGACACGGCCCAGACUCCUACGGGAGGCAGCAGUGGGGAAUAUUGCACAAUGGGCGCAAGCCUGAUGCAGCGACGCCGCGUGAGGGAUGACGGCCUUCGGGUUGUAAACCUCUUUCAGUAGGGAAGAAGCGAAAGUGACGGUACCUGCAGAAGAAGCGCCGGCUAACUACGUGCCAGCAGCCGCGGUAAUACGUAGGGCGCAAGCGUUAUCCGGAAUUAUUGGGCGUAAAGAGCUCGUAGGCGGUUUGUCGCGUCUGCUGUGAAAGACCGGGGCUCAACUCCGGUUCUGCAGUGGGUACGGGCAGACUAGAGUGCAGUAGGGGAGACUGGAAUUCCUGGUGUAGCGGUGAAAUGCGCAGAUAUCAGGAGGAACACCGAUGGCGAAGGCAGGUCUCUGGGCUGUAACUGACGCUGAGGAGCGAAAGCAUGGGGAGCGAACAGGAUUAGAUACCCUGGUAGUCCAUGCCGUAAACGUUGGGCACUAGGUGUGGGGGACAUUCCACGUUUUCCGCGCCGUAGCUAACGCAUUAAGUGCCCCGCCUGGGGAGUACGGCCGCAAGGCUAAAACUCAAAGGAAUUGACGG